CAAGAAAUAGUUUAUUUAAAAUAUUAAUUUUGGGGAUUAAUGAUAUAAUUGUUUUUAUUUUCUUGA
RNAcentral lists this transfer RNA (66 nucleotides) under Anthomyza sp. DY-2021. RNAcentral's name for it is "tRNA-Pro". Lineage: Eukaryota; Metazoa; Arthropoda; Insecta; Diptera; Anthomyzidae. The record is from RNAcentral.